CGCGCUGGACCGUGUACAAGUCCCUUGGAAUAGGGCAUCAUAGAGGGUGAGAAUCCCGUCUUUGACACGGACUGCCAGGGCAUUGUGAUGCGCUCUCGAAGAGUCGAGUUGUUUGGGAAUGCAGCUCAAAAUGGGUGGUAAAUUCCAUCUAAAGCUAAAUAUUGGGGAGAGACCGAUAGCGAACAAGUACCGUGAGGGAAAGAUGAAAAGAACUUUGGAAAGAGAGUUAAACAGUACGUGGAAUUGCUGAAAGGGAAACGCUUGAAGUCAGUCGCGACGCUCAGGACUCAGCCUUGCUCUUUUGCUUGGUGUACUUCCUGUUCGUCGGGUCAGCAUCAGUUUUGGUCGGUGGAAAAAGGCUUAGAGAAUGUGGCAUCUUCGGGUGUGUUAUAGCUCUGGGUCGCAUGCACCGGCUGGGACUGAGGAACUCAGCACGCCGCAAGGCCGGGUAUUUAUACCACGUACGUGCUUGGGAUGCUGGCAUAAUGGCUUUAAUCGACC
RNAcentral lists this ribosomal RNA (501 nucleotides) under uncultured fungus. Its description in RNAcentral is "eukaryotic LSU rRNA". It matches the Rfam family "Eukaryotic large subunit ribosomal RNA", at positions 166 to 649 of the family's 3401-position model. Lineage: Eukaryota; Fungi. The record is from RNAcentral.